This 274-nucleotide ribosomal RNA is filed under the name uncultured bacterium. RNAcentral describes it as "partial 16S ribosomal RNA". It matches the Rfam family "Bacterial small subunit ribosomal RNA", at positions 523 to 796 of the family's 1533-position model. The record is from RNAcentral.
AUACGGAGGGUGCAAGCGUUACUCGGAAUCACUGGGCGUAAAGCGCGCGCAGGCGGGCUGAUAAGUUGGAUGUGAAAGCCUACGGCUCAACCGUAGAACUGCAUCCAAAACUGUCAGUCUAGAGUCUGGGAGGGGAAGAUGGAAUUAGUUGUGUAGGGGUAAAAUCCGUAGAGAUAACUAGGAAUACCAAAAGCGAAGGCGAUCUUCUGGAACAGUACUGACGCUGAGGCGCGAAAGCGUGGGGAGCAAACAGGAUUAGAUACCCUUGUAGUCC